AACCUAGCACACCUGCGGUGUGUACCUGCGGAAGGAUCAUUACCUAGAGUUGCGGGCUUUGCCUGCCAUCUCUUACCCAUGUCUUUUGAGUACCUUCGUUUCCUCGGCGGGUUCGCCCGCCGGUUGGACAACACUUAAACCCUUUGUAAUUGAAAUCAGCGUCUGAAAAAACUUUAAUAGUUACAACUUUCAACAAUGGAUCU
This 203-nucleotide unclassified non-coding RNA is filed under the name soil metagenome. RNAcentral describes it as "partial contains 5.8S ribosomal RNA, internal transcribed spacer 2, and large subunit ribosomal RNA". The record is from RNAcentral.